GGCAGGAGUAUCUCAGUGGUUAAGAUGUUGGACUACUGUUCAGAAGGUCAUGAGUUCAAGUCCCAUCACUGCCA
Molecule: non-coding RNA, 74 nt
Organism: Pangasianodon gigas (Mekong giant catfish)
Lineage: Eukaryota; Metazoa; Chordata; Actinopteri; Siluriformes; Pangasiidae
Source: the annotation of a GenBank genome assembly